This 404-nucleotide ribosomal RNA is filed under the name uncultured microorganism. RNAcentral's name for it is "bacterial SSU rRNA". It matches the Rfam family "Archaeal small subunit ribosomal RNA", at positions 330 to 735 of the family's 1478-position model. The record is from RNAcentral.
GUGCAGCAGGCGAGAAACCUUCGCAAUGCGGGAAACCGCGACGAGGGGACUCCCAGUGCCUACGCUCAGCGUAGGCUGUUCCCGAGCCUAGAAAGCUCGGGGAGUAAGGGCUGGGUAAGACGGGUGCCAGCCGCCGCGGUAAUACCCGCAGCCCGAGUGGUGGCCACUAUUAUUGGGCCUAAAGCGUCCGUAGCCGGCCCGGUAAAUGCCUGGGUAAAUCGUGAGGCCUAACCUCACGAAUUCCGGGUAGACUGCCGGGCUAGGGACCGGAGGAGGGAGAGGGGUACUCCAGGGGUAGGGGUGAAAUCCUGUAAUCCCUGGAGGACCACCGGUGGCGAAGGCGCUCUCCUAGGACGGGUCCGACGGUGAGGGACGAAAGCCAGGGGAGCGAACCGGAUUAGAUA